Molecule: long non-coding RNA, 6315 nt
Filed under: Sus scrofa (pig)
Lineage: Eukaryota; Metazoa; Chordata; Mammalia; Artiodactyla; Suidae
Description: lncRNA (ENSSSCG00025051134.1)
Source: RNAcentral
UUUUUUUUUUUUUUUCCUGAUCGAGACACACACACACACACACACACACACACACACACACACACACACACCUGGGCAGGGUGGUGGGCCUCUAACUCACCUGGGCUCUGACCCAACCAUCACACUGUGUCCCCUCACUAACCUAAGGCCAAGGACUAAUGUUACAUCCUUUUGCCACUUUUGCCUGGACCACCUGGCCACCCCACUCUGCAAACAGCUGUAACUUCCACUUCACAGCAAGACAAAGGUUCUGAAGUUGAACAUCCAUUCUCUCCCCAAUACCUAGAACUGUAUCUGCACAAGCAUCCACCUUUCCUCCUUGUCUCUGGGGAGGAGACCUCCGUUACUCAGCAUCGGAGUCACCAUUACUCCUCCUCUCUCAUCUUUUCUUUAUUGGCUUGUCCCCAUUAACACAGGUUCAUGUGCAAGUCUCUUCACUAAAAAAAUUCUCCCUUGGAGUUCCCUGGUGGGAGUGUUUAUACCACAGAGACUGGCACAUGCUAUAAAUCAGGACUUUGUCUGGAGAGCUGGUUAUUAAACAUUGACCAGCAUCACCACUGCCUACAGGAAAUGAUGUCUAAAGUCCACUAAGUGCACAUUCAGUUUAGUCAGCAUUUGUUGGGUGAGGGAAUGAGUGUAUGAGUAAAUAGAAGUCUUAGGAGUCAAAAUUUUCUUCUUGAAAUUUCCAACUUUAUAUUUCUUGUACAACAAUGUUCCCAUCGGUUCGUUCAUUUAAAAAAUGAUCUUUGAAUAAACAGCUGUUGUGUUUUUCCUUAGUCUUCUAUUUUUCAUACUGAAGUACCUUGAUCCCUUGAGCCAUUCCUCAGGCCACUUGGCCCACGGGCAAUGACCCCAAGAGGUCUGUCUGUGCCUUCUAGAUAUGACACAAGGCUCCAGGGACGGUCUGAUCACCGCUGGCCACCAUGGAACCAUCCAUUCCAAUAAGUGGGGUGUGGGGUUUCAUUGCAGAAGCCCAAGAUGUGAGCUGUGCUCACACACAGACACACCCAUGUGUGUGCAUAUUACAGAUACCCAACUCCAUCAUACAUUUUGGCACUAAGUGGGUACUGAGACAAAGGGCCAGUGUUCACAUGGAUCCUUAUUAAUUUUAGUUUUUUUUUUGGUCUCAAUGUUCUAGUCCAUUGAGAUGUCAUUUAAUUUUGAUUCUGCCCUCUUGCAAUUUUUGCCCUCCUCUGGCCUCCAGCUUCUGAAUUAUGCAUCAGAGAUUCCUCCACAGGCAACAGAAGAGGAACCAUGGGAAAUAAGCAGCGAACAGUCACUGAGGAACGUCUUCCAUGAACAAGGUAUCAGGCAAGAUAUUUCCAUAUAUUUUGCCUCUUUAAUUCUAGUAACAACCAGCAAGCCAAGUGUUAAUGGUACCAUUUUAACAGAUGGGGACUUUGGUGCUUCAAGGCGUUAAAGAACUUAGCCAAAGUCAAGGGGAGCUGGAACUGGAACCCAUGUCUGCCUGAGUCGUAAGUCGAUAUUCUGGGUACACCUCUGCACUGCUUCCCAGAAAAUAUUCCUGAUGACUAAUAUUAGUAUUCAUGGAAUUCUUUCCUUCUGAGAUGCUUAUAACUUUAGGAGGCAAUUUCUAUUUCCCCACUAGCUUCUUUCUUUGGCCAAAUUUAGAUAAUCUCCUCUGAGUGACCAAAGAAUGGCCUAGACUGCCUUACCGCAAGGUAGUACGCCGCCCAGUGGGUCACUGCUGCCAUGUAGCCACUAAAGCAGUAGCAAAAUCAGCCCUCUCUUUGGAUCACGUGUUGGGCACUUAUGCACCAGGCUCUGUGUGACCCUUGCCAUUCACAUGAGGUAGAAAUGACUAUUAUUCUUGUUUUCUAUGUGUAUUAACUAAAGCCCCAAGAGGCAGAGUCACCUGCCCAGUCACAGCUAAGAGCAGGCAGAGCUGGCCUUCUGCACCCAUGCUUUCCUCCAAGAUACUCGAGAGCCUUCUUCACCCAAAGGGAUUCAGAAGCUCAAACUGUCUCAUAGGUCACUUGGAAAAUCCCUGGCCUGGUUGACCUUUUCUGUAAGAUCCUCUGGGUUUUCUAAGGGCAGCUCAUGUAUUUGCAAUCCAAUAACAUUCAGAUCCGUUUCCAAAUUCCAUUUAUUUUUUAACUCUAUUGUAAGAAGGAAAAUAAGCAAAGGAUGAGGAGAAAGAGGAGAGGGAUUUGUGCCUGUUCAUUCCAGAGCUAUAGUUCUUUUCUUCCCAGUGUUGCCAAUGUGGCUACGAGAGUCUAGUCCCUUCCAUCAUGUGCCUGUCUGAUGAUGUCAAAACGGUCAAUCACCCAGGCUCCUCAAGGCUGCUGGAUUCUGUGUCAGCAUCUACAUCAUGUCAGUGCCUGGAUGGGCCAACAGAGUCCUGACAGGUUUACUUCCUCCAGAUGGAUGUAUAAUCUCCACUCACUCCUAUGAAAAUGCUAUUUUUUUCCUUUGCUUGUUCUCUCUUACAUUCUCUCUCCUGCCCUGGACAGGUCCUGCCUAAACACUGUCACCACAAUGAAUCAUGAGCUGUCAGGCAGAGUGAAAUGUCAUACUGCAAGGGGCUUGAGCUGCUAACAGGAGCCUGAAAUCUUAAGAAACAACCCUUCUGAGGCCAGAAGAGCCGAGCAAAAAGAAGAGGCGGACUUACUGACCAACUUAGGAUACAGAGAGGGUCCUACAUGAACACUGUUGGCUAGAUUCCCAGUAGGGACACCUGCAUCAAAACUGUUUUUGCCCCUGAAGACUCUUCAAGUCUCACUGGAGGAUUCACCACCCAGCCCAGAUUUGGGUGUCAGCAUCAUUAGAAAAAGCUAGGUGAGUAUGUUCUAGGGAAAAUUCCAGGAGGUUUGUGAGGAGACAACACACAUUCUUGAUCACAUUGCAUCUGUCGGACAAGAGAUGGGGGUCAUAAUGACCUAUCCUUCCAGAACUAUGACACCAUGCCUCAUAAACAAAACAACCCAACUUAUUUCCUCUCCUCAGGACACCCUUAGUUCCAGACCCUGCAGCCCUGUUCUUGAGGGAGGGAGCCAAACCCACUGCCUGUCCUGGGUUUGAAGGAAAUUCCUUAGGAAAGAUUAAUCUGCAAUUCCACUGCUCACCAUCUCCAGGAAUGAAGAAAUAGGAUUUAGAAAAGUACUUUCAUUUAGGGUCUUCCUGUUGCCAGGACAACAGGACCAUUCAUCUUUCCACAGCUGAGUUCACUUACAAAAAAAAAACCACCAUUCAGUUCCUACUCAAUACAACACACAUUCGUGGAGCAUCUAGGAAUCUGGUUCUGUGCUAGAUCUUGAGGAUGUAAACACAGGUAACAGGACUCCUUCACUAAAGCAGUUUAUAAUUCCGUAGGAAGAUCCAAAUGUCUUAUAUAAUCAUGUUAGGUAUGCAAGAAAAGAAGUGUGUUUAAGGUUUAGAUGCAGAGAGCUAUAAAGAAGGAAGCACCUGUUCUGUAAGUGUGGGGGCUGUCCAAGAAGGUCCUAACAGGAGGUCAUAUGGCACAAGGAUUGGAAACAAAGUGCUGUGCUUCCUGUUCAAACUGGAGGACAGAAAAUACGUUAUCUCUACUACCUCCUGAAACUCUACUAAAAAUGAUGACAUGGGGAUUUUUUUUUAAGGAAUAAAUCUUUAAGGACAAAGAGAAUAAGAAUACCAAACUUAUUAUUUUGAAGCAGAGAGCAGAUAGGCAGCUGAUUACAGACCCAACAGAGCUGAAAAGGCUGAAAUCUUAGCUGGCAGUGGAGGUAACUGCCCUGCAGGACCCUAGAAAGUUACAGGAUUCCUCUAACAAUGAAGGUGAUGGUGAAGGUGACAGCAGGGGGAAGGGCUAAAGGUUGGUCUAAGAAGCAAUAAGACCCUCAGAUACCUUCCACCACCACCCUCUCCCUCUCCAGACUGUACAGACGCUGGAUUGGGGACAUGAGGUACAGCUGAAGGCAGAAAUGCUGUCCUAAAAAUAAGGGGAUUCAAGGAAAGUCUUCGUAGAGAAUUACAAAAGCAUUCUGUAUACUACAACCAGAACGAGAGUACCAGGCUCUUGGAAAAGAGUGAAAUUUUGGAGUUCCCAUUGUGGCUCUACAAUAAUGAACCUGACUAGUAUCCAUGAGGACUCAGGCUCAAUCCCUGGUCUCGCUCAGUGGGUUAAGGAUCUGGCAUUGCCAUGAGCUGUGGCGUAGGUCAUAGAUGCGACUCAGAUCCCACGUUGCUUUAUCUGUGGCUGGUAGCUGCAGCUCCAAUUCGACCCCUAGCCUGGGAACUUCCAUAAGUGGUGGGUGUGGCACUAAAAGACAAAAAAAAAAAAAAAAAAAAAAAAAAAAAAAAAAAAAAGAAAGAAAGAAAGAAGAGAGCAAAUUAUUUUUUUCCUGAAAAAAACCUGACUAGUCCAAGAGAUAAGACAAAUAAGGUUCCACAGUGGAACAACUCAGCCAGGUCGCCUAAGAGUGAAGCUGUUUCUAGUCAAUGAAUUCUACUCACAAGCCUGGAGAUUUUCAGGACACCACUCUUUUUUGGGUGAUUACUGAUAUUUCUGGGUUUAUUUACACUUUUUGUUUUUAUAAUGUGAUUAUUGAUAUUUCUAGAUUUACGUAUUUCUUUUCCAUUCCUUUUUUUUUUUUUUUUUUUUUUUUUUUUUGUCUUUUUGCCUUUUCUGGGGCUGCCCCUGCAGCAUAUGGAAGUUCCCAGACUAGGGGUCGGAUCAGAGCUGUAGCCACUGGCCUAUGCCAGAGCCACAGCAGCUCGGGAUCUGAGCCACGUCUGCGACCCACACCACAGCUCACAGCCAUGCCAGAUUCUUAACCCACUGAGCAAGGCCAGGGAUUUAACCCGCAACCUCAUGGUUCCUAAUCAGAUUCGUUAACCACUGAGCCAUGACAGGAACUCCUCCAUUCAUGUUUAUCACAGGAUAUUGAAUGUAGUUCCCUGUGGACCUUGUUGUUUCUCCAUUCCAUACAUAAUAGUUUGCAUCUGCUAACCCCAAACUCCCAGUCCAUCCCCCAUCCUUGGCAAACACAAGUCUGUUCUCUAUGUUUGUGAGUCUGUUUCUGUUUUGACAUAGGUUCAUUUGUGUCAUAUUUUAGAUUCCACACACAGGUGAUAUCAUAUGGUGUUUGUCUUUCUCUUUCUUACUUCACUUAAUGUGAUAAUCUCUAGGUCCAUCCAUGUUGCUGCAAAUGCAUUAUUUCAUUAUUUUUCAGGCUGCAUAAUAUUCCAUUAUGUGUAUGUGUGUAUAUAUAUAUACCACAUCUUCUUUAUCCAUUUAUCUCUUAAACUAGAAAAGACAGUCCAGAAUUUUCAGAUGUUUGAAAAGAGCUUCUCAUAUGAAAGACAAAACCAAACAAUAACCACAACGAAAGAGGAAAAAGGGAAUCUAGAAGAAAACCAAGAAAAUUCAUGGGAAAGGAAACUAUAAACUUGUAUAUGUUUUUCAAUAGUCUUAGAAUGGAAAGCAUUUUAUUAGUGAAAAAAAUCAAGAUGCUCUACAAAGAAGUGAGGGCACUUAUAGGACCAAAAAAUAAAGCACUCUUGGAAAUAAAAAAAAGCAGGAAGACUGAAAAACAUUGGGAAAAUAAGUUGAAGAGAUACCCCAGAGAAUAGAACAAAACACACACAGAGAAAAAGAAUGGUAUUAGAGAAAUAGCCCAGGAAUUCCAAGGAACUCCAGAAAGAGGGAGUGGCAAAAACAGAAGUUGUCACAUAACAAAUUCAAGACUCUUUCUCAGACUUGAAGACAUUGACUUCUGGAUUGUAAAAGUACACCAGUGGCCAGCACAAAGGAAGAACACAGACUCACACCAAGCACAUCAUUAUAAAACGUCAGAACUCUAGGGGCAGAAGACCUGGAUGUUUUCAGAAGGCCAUAUACAAAGGAUCCAGAGUCUGAAUGGUAUAAGAGUUGCCUAGUUUUCUUCUUUGCCUUUACCACUAAACCACUGGCAACAGCACUGGAAGCUAGAAAACAUGAAGCAGUGCCUUCAACACUCAAAAGGAAAAUAAUCUCCAGCCCAGAAUUCUAUACAUGGCCAAACUAUCAAUCAAAUGCGAGAGAAGAACAAACGUGUUUCCAGAUAUACAUGCUUUCAAAAACUUAACCUCCCAUGGACAUUUUCUUAGGAAGCUACUUCAGGAAAUGGUCUGGCAAAGAGAAGUGAUUCAUGAUAAAACGACAUGGGAUCCAGGAAACAAGGGACCCAGCACAGAAGAGAGGGAAAUGACUCUAGGAGGAGGAGGAAGAAAAAGCAGGAAAACAGAGUCUCCACAGCCCUAAAGUAGAGGGGAUACAGACUGGGGAGAAACAGGUCCAAGAAGGUGAACUUGAUGAAAUGCAUGUGAAUAUAC